This 816-nucleotide ribosomal RNA is filed under the name Paenibacillus sp. DF4MM9. RNAcentral describes it as "bacterial SSU rRNA". It matches the Rfam family "Bacterial small subunit ribosomal RNA", at positions 694 to 1504 of the family's 1533-position model. The record is from RNAcentral. Lineage: Bacteria; Bacillati; Bacillota; Bacilli; Caryophanales; Paenibacillaceae.
AGAUGGGGAGGAACACCAUUGGCGAAGGGGACUUUCUUGGGCGUAAUGACGUGGAGGCGGAAAAGCGUGGGGAGCAAAACAGGAUUAGUUACCCUGUUAGUCCCCGCCGUAAACGAUGAUGCUAGGUGUUAGGGGUUUCAAUAUCCGUUGGUGCCGAAGUUAACACAUUAAGCAUUUCCGCCUGGGGAGUACGCUCGCAAGAGUGAAAUCUCAAAGGAAUUGACGGGGACCCGCACAAGCAGUGGAGUAUGUGGUUUAAUUCGAAGCAACGCGAAGAACCUUACCAGCUCUUGACAUCCCGAUGUAAGCAUUAGAGAUAGUGCCCCUCUUCGGAGCAUUGGAGACAGGUGGUGCAUGGUUGUCGUCAGCUCGUGUCGUGAGAUGUUGGGUUAAGUCCCGCAACGAGCGCAACCCUUGAUCUUAGUUGCCAGCAGGUUAAGCUGGGCACUCUAAGGUGACUGCCGGUGACAAACCGGAGGAAGGUGGGGAUGACGUCAAAUCAUCAUGCCCCUUAUGAGCUGGGCUACACACGUACUACAAUGGCCGGUACAACGGGCUGCGAAACCGCGAGGUGGAGCGAAUCCUUAAAAGCCGGUCUCAGUUCGGAUUGCAGGCUGCAACUCGCCUGCAUGAAGUCGGAAUUGCUAGUAAUCGCGGAUCAGCAUGCCGCGGUGAAUACGUUCCCGGGUCUUGUACACACCGCCCGUCACACCACGAGAGUUUACAACACCCGAAGUCGGUGGGGUAACCCGCAAGGGAGCCAGCCGCCGAAGGUGGGGUAGAUGAUUGGGGUGAAGUCGUAACAAGGUAACCGUA